CUUGGGUACUCGAGUGGCGAACGGGUGAGUAACACGCGGGUGAUCUGCCCUGCACUUCGGGAUAAGCCUGGGAAACUGGGUCUAAUACCGGAUAGGACCACAUUUUGGAUGGUGUGGUGGAAAGUUUUUCGGUGUGGGAUGAGCUCGCGGCCUAUCAGCUUGUUGGUGGGGUAAUGGCCUACCAAGGCGUCGACGGGUAGCCGGCCUGAGAGGGUGUACGGCCACAUUGGGACUGAGAUACGGCCCAG
This 248-nucleotide ribosomal RNA is filed under the name uncultured Actinomycetales bacterium. Its description in RNAcentral is "partial 16S ribosomal RNA". It matches the Rfam family "Bacterial small subunit ribosomal RNA", at positions 82 to 334 of the family's 1533-position model. Lineage: Bacteria; Bacillati; Actinomycetota; Actinomycetes; Actinomycetales. The record is from RNAcentral.